GAUGAACGCUGGCGGCGUGCUUAAUACAUGCAAGUCGAGCGGACGGACGAGAAGCUUGUUUCUCUCUUGUUUGCGGCGGACGGGUGUGUAACACGUGUAUCACCUCCCUAUCAUACUAGUAUCACUUCGGGAAACCGUAGCUUAUACCGUAUAAUAUUUUGAUCCGCAUGGUUCAUUAGUGAAAUACGGUCUUUCUGUCACUUAUAGCUGGAUCCCGGCUGCUUUAGCUAGUUGGUAAGGUAACGGCUUAUCACGGCAACGAUGCAUAGCCGACCUGAGAGGGGGAUAGGCCACACGGGAACUGAGACGGCGUCAUGAGGACUACGGGAGGCCGCAGUAGGGAAUCGGACGCAAUGGGCGAAAGCAUGACGGAGCAGGGCGGCGUGAGAGAUGAAGGUCUUCGGAUCGUAAAACUGUGUUAUGAGGGAAGAACAUAUGUGGAAGGAACUGUGCACAUAGUGACGGUACCUAAUCAGAAAGCAACGGCUAACUACGUG
RNAcentral lists this ribosomal RNA (497 nucleotides) under uncultured bacterium. RNAcentral's name for it is "partial 16S ribosomal RNA". It matches the Rfam family "Bacterial small subunit ribosomal RNA", at positions 28 to 507 of the family's 1533-position model. The record is from RNAcentral.